Molecule: ribosomal RNA, 216 nt
Filed under: Glomeromycotina sp.
Lineage: Eukaryota; Fungi; Glomeromycota
Description: partial small subunit ribosomal RNA
Rfam family: Eukaryotic small subunit ribosomal RNA (bases 40-216)
Source: RNAcentral
GGGUCAGUAGGUUGGUCGUGCUACCGGUACGUACUGGUCUCACUGAUUCCUCCUUCCUGAAGAACCGUAAUGCCAUUAAUUUGGUGUUGCGGGGAAACAGGACUGUUACUUUGAAAAAAUUAGAGUGUUUAAAGCAAGCUAACGCUUGAAUACAUUAGCAUGGAAUAGUGAAAUAGGACGAUCGAUCCUAUUUUGUUGGUUUCUAGGAUUGACGUA